UACGAAGGGGGCUAGCGUUGUUCGGAAUUACUGGGCGUAAAGCGCACGUAGGCGGAUAUUUAAGUCAGGGGUGAAAUCCCGGGGCUCAACCCCGGAACUGCCUUUGAUACUGGGUAUCUCGAGUCCGAGAGAGGUGAGUGGAAUUCCGAGUGUAGAGGUGAAAUUCGUAGAUAUUCGGAAGAACACCAGUGGCGAAGGCGGCUCACUGGACUGGUAUUGACGCUGAGGUGCGAAAGCGUGGGGAGCAAACAGG
RNAcentral lists this ribosomal RNA (253 nucleotides) under uncultured bacterium. RNAcentral's name for it is "partial 16S ribosomal RNA". It matches the Rfam family "Bacterial small subunit ribosomal RNA", at positions 524 to 776 of the family's 1533-position model. The record is from RNAcentral.